Molecule: signal recognition particle RNA, 114 nt
Filed under: [Bacillus] selenitireducens MLS10
Lineage: Bacteria; Bacillati; Bacillota; Bacilli; Caryophanales; Bacillaceae
Description: SRP RNA; RNA component of signal
Rfam family: Bacterial small signal recognition particle RNA (bases 8-107)
About the family: The signal recognition particle (SRP) is a universally conserved ribonucleoprotein involved in the co-translational targeting of proteins to membranes.
Source: RNAcentral
UGUUGACGUUUGGGUUCUGCGCAACGGAAUCCUGUGAACCCUGUCAGGUCCGGAAGGAAGCAGCAGUAAGCAGAUCAUUCCGUGUGCCGCAGAGUUGCCUGGACCGAGCUAACU